This 72-nucleotide transfer RNA is filed under the name Dasypus novemcinctus (nine-banded armadillo). Its description in RNAcentral is "tRNA-Ala (TGC) (tRNA-Ala-TGC-9-1)". It matches the Rfam family "tRNA". Rfam says of the family: Transfer RNA (tRNA) molecules are approximately 80 nucleotides in length. Their secondary structure includes four short double-helical elements and three loops (D, anti-codon, and T loops). The record is from RNAcentral. Lineage: Eukaryota; Metazoa; Chordata; Mammalia; Cingulata; Dasypodidae.
GGGGAUGUAGCUCAAUGGUAGAGUGCAUGCUUUGCAUGCACGAGGUUCUGGGUUCAAUCCCUGGCAUCUCCA